UACGGAGGGGGCUAGCGUUGUUCGGAAUUACUGGGCGUAAAGCGCACGUAGGCGGCUUUGUAAGUUAGAGGUGAAAGCCCGGGGCUCAACUCCGGAAUUGCCUUUAAAACUGCAUCGCUAGAAUUGUGGAGAGGUAAGUGGAAUUCCGAGUGUAGAGGUGAAAUUCGUGGAUAUUCGGAAGAACACCAGUGGCGAAGGCGACUUACUGGACACAUAUUGACGCUGAGGUGCGAAAGCGUGGGGAGCAAACAGG
This 253-nucleotide ribosomal RNA is filed under the name uncultured bacterium. RNAcentral describes it as "partial 16S ribosomal RNA". It matches the Rfam family "Bacterial small subunit ribosomal RNA", at positions 524 to 776 of the family's 1533-position model. The record is from RNAcentral.